Molecule: non-coding RNA, 73 nt
Organism: Bos taurus (domestic cattle)
Lineage: Eukaryota; Metazoa; Chordata; Mammalia; Artiodactyla; Bovidae
Source: Rfam
UCCCUGGUGGUCCAAUGGUUAACACGCCAAGCUUCCAAUUCAGGGGAUGCAGGUUUGAUUCCUGCUCAGGGAG